ACAGCGGAGAGUUUGAUCCUGGCUCAGGAUGAACGCUAGCGGCAGGCUUAACACAUGCAAGUCGCGGGGCAGCGGGGGAGGAGUUUACUCCUCCCGCCGGCGACCGGCGCACGGGUGAGUAACACGUAUGCAACCUGCCCUUGUCAGGGGGACAACCCGCCGAAAGGCGGGCUAAUCCCGCGUAAAUCACUUCGGGGCAUCCCGAAGUGAGGAAAGGCUUCGGCCGGACAAGGAUGGGCAUGCGGCGCAUUAGGCAGUUGGCGGGGUAACGGCCCACCAAACCGACGAUGCGUAGGGGUUCUGAGAGGAAGGUCCCCCACACUGGUACUGAGACACGGACCAGACUCCUACGGGAGGCAGCAGUGAGGAAUAUUGGUCAAUGGGCGAGAGCCUGAACCAGCCAAGCCGCGUGAGGGAAGAAGGUGCUCAGCAUCGUAAACCUCUUUUGUCAGGGAACAAAGGGCUCCUCGUGAGGAGCACUGAGUGUACCUGAAGAAAAAGCAUCGGCUAACUCCGUGCCAGCAGCCGCGGUAAUACGGAGGAUGCGAGCGUUAUCCGGAUUUAUUGGGUUUAAAGGGUGCGUAGGCGGACUGUUAAGUCAGCGGUAAAAGCCCGGAGCUCAACUCCGGCGAGCCGUUGAAACUGGUGGUCUUGAGACGUCGAGAGGUAUGCGGAAUGCGCAGUGUAGCGGUGAAAUGCAUAGAUAUUGCGCAGAACUCCGAUUGCGAAGGCAGCAUACUGGCGGCGCUCUGACGCUGAGGCACGAAAGCGUGGGUAUCGAACAGGAUUAGAUACCCUGGUAGUCCACGCAGUAAACGAUGAAUAC
RNAcentral lists this ribosomal RNA (826 nucleotides) under Muribaculaceae bacterium. RNAcentral describes it as "bacterial SSU rRNA". It matches the Rfam family "Bacterial small subunit ribosomal RNA", at positions 1 to 816 of the family's 1533-position model. The record is from RNAcentral. Lineage: Bacteria; Pseudomonadati; Bacteroidota; Bacteroidia; Bacteroidales; Muribaculaceae.